CCUACGGGAGGCAGCAGUGGGGAAUCUUGCGCAAUGGGCGAAAGCCUGACGCAGCCAUGCCGCGUGAAUGAUGAAGGUCUUAGGAUUGUAAAAUUCUUUCACCGGGGACGAUAAUGACGGUACCCGGAGAAGAAGCCCCGGCUAACUUCGUGCCAGCAGCCGCGGUAAUACGAAGGGGGCUAGCGUUGCUCGGAAUUACUGGGCGUAAAGGGAGCGUAGGCGGAUAGUUUAGUCAGAGGUGAAAGCCCAGGGCUCAACCUUGGAAUUGCCUUUGAUACUGGCUAUCUUGAGUACGGAAGAGGUAUGUGGAACUCCGAGUGUAGAGGUGAAAUUCGUAGAUAUUCGGAAGAACACCAGUGGCGAAGGCGACAUACUGGUCCGUUACUGACGCUGAGGCUCGAAAGCGUGGGGAGCAAACAGGAUUAGAUACCCUGGUAGUCCACGCUGUAAACGAUGAGUGCUAGUUGUCGGCAUGCAUGCAUGUCGGUGACGCAGCUACGCAUAAGACACUCCGCCGUCGGGAGGUACGGUCGGCGAAGAAUUAAAACUUAAAAUAGUAAGUUAGUACGGCGUGAGACGUACCGAACGACGACGACGAGGGAGAGG
This 606-nucleotide ribosomal RNA is filed under the name uncultured bacterium. Its description in RNAcentral is "bacterial SSU rRNA". The stretch from base 1 to 516 matches the Rfam family "Bacterial small subunit ribosomal RNA", at positions 338 to 873 of the family's 1533-position model. The record is from RNAcentral.